Molecule: long non-coding RNA, 732 nt
Organism: Mus musculus (house mouse)
Lineage: Eukaryota; Metazoa; Chordata; Mammalia; Rodentia; Muridae
Product: predicted gene, 40933
Exons: 3
Source: RefSeq, a predicted model, not a curated record
CACGAGACCCUGGGAUGGAAAGCAGGCGCUGGCUCCAGCUGUUCCCCCUUCUGCCAACAGCAGCCGCAGCUCAAAAGCCUAAGACCACCACGCUCCCUGCAAGCUAUCUGAGAUGAUAAGAAGACCAGGACCACAGCUCGGAAACAAUACUGACACAAUGGGAUUAAUGCAAUCAAAUUCGCCUGCUUGCAUGCCCGGAAGCCCAUCUCCUAGGCUGCUUCUUCACUCUGCAGAAACCUUCUAGUUUCAUGGAAUACCAUUUGUCAAUUCUUUUGAUUAUUUCCUGAGGUAUUAGAGUCUUUUCCAGAAAGUUUGUACCUAUAUCCAUAUCAUGAAGUGUUUCCCCCUACCAAUUCCAGUAUCUCAAGUCUUAUAUUAAGAUCUUUGAAAUGUUUUCAUUGAUUUGUGUUCAGACUAAGAGGUAUGUAACUAUUUUCAUUUUCUGUAUAUGAAUACCCAGUUUUCCCAACACAAUUUGUUGAAUGUGCUGUCUUUUUUCCCAAUGUAUAUUUAGACAACUUUAUCAAAAACGAGGUGGCUGUAGUUAUGUGAGCUUCUUUCUGAGAUCUAUACUCUAUUCAACUGGUCUACAUACCUGUUUUUGUGGCAGUGCCUUCUGGCUUUGUCACCAUGGUUCUGUGGUCUAACUUGAGGUCACAUGUGGACUCUCCAACAUGGUCCUUUCUACUUUCAACUGUUUUGGUCAUUUGGGCCUUUUGUAUUUCAAUAUAA